AUGACAAAAUAUUUCAGGGGGGAGCUACUAAUUACUUUUACGUGUUGUUUGUGGCUUUUAGUAAAUCCUUCACCUUUCUUAUCAGCAAUACUAGAAAAUUUAAUGUUUUUGCAUCCAGCAAAAAGGAUUAAACUCAUUUUCUUGGAUUUUAACACUUUUUAUUCAAAAUUUACACGGAGUAUCGCUGUUUCUAGUUCAUUUCCAAUUGUGAAUGGUAAAAUCGACCAAGAAUCGUCAUGCUACAUAAAAAGAAAAAACAUUUAUUUAAAAUAUCGGGAACAAUUUAAGAAAGAUUUAACGAGUUUAAACCUUGGUUUGAACAAGAAGGCGAUCGAUCGUCAUGUCCUAGUUAAUAAGAAAUUACUAGUUCGUGAAAGGCUUGAAGCUCUACUUGAUAACCACUUAGAUUUUAUUGAACUUUCUCCUCUUUCUGGCUUCUAUUUGGAAUAUGGAAAAAUUGAAAGAGCUGGAAUUUUUUGUGGUAUUGGUCGAGUAUCUGGGUGCCUUACUAUGAUACUGGCAAAUGAUGCAACAGUUAAAGGUGGUGCUGCAUAUCCCAUAACAGUGAAGAAACAGUUACGUGCACAAGAAAUUGCUUUGGAAAGUAGUUUACCAUGCUUGUAUCUGAUUGACAGUGGAGGAGCUUUUUUACCACUUCAGGCAGAUAUAUUUCCUGAUGAACAGCAUGGUGGAAAAGUUUUCUAUAAUCAGGCCAUAAUGAGCUCUCUUAAAUCACCUCAAAUUUGUGUAGUAUGUGGAUCUUGUACCGCUGGAGGUGCAUACAUUCCAACAAUGGCUGAGAGGACGGUGAUAGUUAAUAAAAUUGGUACAAUUUUCUUGGGUGGACCACCAUUAGUGAGGGCUGCAACUGGUGAGGUGGUUACUGCAGAAGAUCUUGGAGGUGCAAAUGUUCAUUCAAGUAUUAGUGGCUGCACAGACUACUUGGCAAAAGAUGAAAAAGAAGCCUUUUCUAUGACACGUUCUAUCUUUGCUUCAUUGAACUCUCGUUCACUGUCCUAUUUGGACUAUGAAGAACCAUUGUACCAGUUAAAUGAUCUUGGUCCUCUUUCAAUACAUCAGCACAAUAUUCUCCCUAUCUAUAAGAUUAUUGCAAGAAUUGUAGAUGGAAGUAGAUUUGAUGAGUUUAAAGCAUUGUUUGGUUCUACACUUGUGACGGGAUUUGCUACUAUAAAAGGUAUACUUGUUGGAAUUCUAGCUAAUCAUGGUCCAAUGUCAGCAUCAGCUGCUGCCAAGGGAGCAAAUUUUGUUGACAUCUGCAAACAUCACAACAUUCCUUUAGUUUUCUUUCAAGAUACUCAUCCUCAUAUUAAUAAUGAUCCAGACAUGUUAAAACAACUUGGAAAAAUGAUCUCUAUUGUAUCUUGUGCUCAGGUUCCAAAAUUACCAUCAUUAUGGGAAGAUCAUGUGGACCAACAAGCUAUGCUAUGUCGAGGUUUGCAGCCGUCUUUCUUGUAUACUUGGCCAACAGCACAAAUACAUGUUGAUAAUGUACAGAGACGAAGUGAAGAUGUAAAUUUGGAAGAAAGAUAUAAAGAUAAAACUACUUCAUUUUAUUCAUCUGCUAAUCUUUGGGAUGAUGGUAUUAUCUUACCAGAAGAAAGUAGAGAGGUUCUAUCGUUGAGUUUAAAAGCAUCAAUGGAAAACCGUAAUUUGUCAAAGAAUGAAUUAAACUCUCCCGUCGUGCGAAUGUAAUCUUUAGAUGAAGUUGUAUUGUAGUAGAUUUGCUUCAUCGACAACGACAUUCACAACCAGAACUUCCAGCAACUGUGAGAGUUUCCCAAGAAAGAAUGCUUGAUUACUAUACGAAAAAGCUUGCAGAACAAAAAAUUGACAAGAAAGACCUGAAAAUGAUGAAAAAAUAUAAAAUGGUGAAGUUUUUUGAAAAACGAAAACUCUGGCGCCAACAUCGAGCUGUGACAAAGGAGUUAAAAGAAGAUAAUGUUGAUGUUGAAAGGUCAAAAGAACUACAAGACUUGCAAAAAAAGAUUUAUCAAGAUCUGAAUUAUAUUGAGUAUUUUCCAAGUGACAAGAAAUACAUUUCACUUUUUCCUGUUAAAUCUUAUUGUAAUGAGUCCGUUAUCUCUGAACAAGCAUCCCUCCAUCAUUAUAUUAAUGAAAAAGUUAAUGCUGGUGAACUACCACAAGCUUCAUUCAGUGACAAAAAGAUAUGUAAAGGAAGAAAUGUUAUAUUAAACGAAAGUUGUAAAAAAACAAGAAGACAUGACAGGAAGAAAAAUUUUGCUAUAGAUGAUGAUUUUUUCAUUGAUACAUGUGGAGAUCAAUAAUUAGACAUUAAAGUUAAUCUGACAACAGGUAAAUCAUAUAGAAUGAAAAUCCAUUAAAAGCUUCUCACACACAACUGGGAGCUGCUGCAGCUUAUCCGGUGGCAAGCUUGACAUUUACACAUUUAAACAACUAAUAUAGAUAUCAUUACAUCGCCCAAAAUAGCCUUGCUAGUGAGAGGACUAAAAUAUUACUAAAAUACAAAUGUCUAUAGUGAUUUAUCCUGACAUGCAGGUGCUCUUGUCCAACUGUGUGUGGACGCCACAAGAAAAUGUGCUUGAUAUAACUUAUACCACCUAAUCAAGCUCCAAGAAGAAAAAAUUUUCCACCUUUUCUUUCCUCAGUCAGUGGAAAGUGUUACACAUUGAUAAGAAAAAGUUUACUGAAAGUUUUGAUCCUGCUAUGUAAGUUUCAGAUCAUCAUUAUUGAUUUCUUUAGAAAUAAAGUUUUUAUUGUGAGUGAACACAUAAAAACUUACAUAACUGGACUAAAUAGUCAGGCUGGUUUUGCCACUGCUAAAAGUUUUGUUAGACAUUGUAUAAUGAAUGCAUCAAUGAAAAUGUCCUUCACUUACUAUUAUUUACGAACUGCUUCUCAUAAAUUUACUGUUAAUAAACUGUUAUGAUGGUCAUUUUUUAUGGUUUUUACAUAAUAGCUUUCCAUAUUAAAUAUUUCAAACUAGAUGUGUUAUUUUUACCAAUGCAAAGUUAGUAUUUUUGACUUUGACCUUUAUUUAACAUAAAAAAAACAUGAAAUUGACUUAUGUUUCUGACUUUUCUGUUGGUAGUUUAGCUGAAUAAAAAUAUUUGGUUUAA
Xenia sp. Carnegie-2017 is the source of this 3119-nucleotide RNA transcript. It is a transcript of the gene named methylcrotonoyl-CoA carboxylase beta chain, mitochondrial-like, with no coding region annotated. The transcript is spliced from 20 exons. NCBI's taxonomy places the organism in Eukaryota, Metazoa, Cnidaria, Anthozoa, Malacalcyonacea, Xeniidae. The record is from RefSeq and is a predicted model, not a curated record.